GACGACCGAUAGCGAACCCAGUAGGGCGACCGAACGGUGGGAAGAACCCCGAUCAGGGGAGGACACUGAACCUGAAACCCCGUGCCUACGAGCGGUGGGAGCGCAGUACCUUCGGGUCGCGUGACCGCGUGCCUUUUGCAUAAUGAUCCGGCGAGUUAUCGUGCCCGGCUCGGGUUAACCCCUUCAGGGGGGGAGCCGCAGGGAAACCGAGUCUGAAUAGGGCGACAUAUGUCGGGCGCGAUAGACGCGAAACCAGGUGACCUACCCAUGGGCAGGUUGAAGCGCCCGUAACAGGGCGUGAAGGACCGAACCCACUAAUGUUGAAAAAUUAGGGGAUGACCCGUGGGGAGGAGUCAAAGUCUCAUCAAACCUGGAGAUAGCUCGUUCUCUCCGAAAUGGCUUUAGGGCCAGCGUCGGACCAUACCCCGCGGGGGUAGAGCGACGGAAUUCGGUCGGGGGGCUUCCCGCCUACCCGCCGAAACCCAACUCCGAAUACCGCGGUGGCGUACUCCGGCAGUCAGAGCGCGGGGGAGAAGCUUCGUGCUCCAGAGGGAAAGAACCCAGACCGCCGACCAAGGCCCCCAAGACGACGCUCAGUGGCAAAGGAAGUGGGAUCGCGGUGACAGCCCGGAUGUUGGCUUAGAAGCAGCCACCAUUUCAAAAGUGCGUAACAGCUUACGGGUCGAGCCAUCCCGCGCCGAAAAUGACGGGGACUCAAGCGUCGCGCCGCAGUCGCGGAUCGAUUUAUCGAUGGUAGGAGAGCGUCGAUGCCUGCAGCGAAGCCGUACCGGCAAGGAACGGUGGAGCGGCAUCGAGUGCGUAUGCCGGAACGAGUAACGACAAGAUGGGUGGGAAGCCCAUCCGCCGAAAGCACAAGGUUUCCUGGGGAAGGUCAAUCCGCCCAGGGUCAGUCGGGACCUAAGGCGAGGCCCAAGGGCGUAGCCGAUGGGCAGACGGUUAAUAUUCCGUCACCCGGUGUGAAGGUUGAAGGGAGCAGGACGCCGAGGCACGUGGGAUCGGGGGGUUAGAUCACCCCGUCCCGCAAGGGCGACGACACUUCGAUUCGGAAGUCUCACAACCCUCGGCCACGAAAAGCCGUUCCCGGACGACACAUCGGCCCGUACCGCAAUCCGACACAGGUGUGCUAGGCGAGUAUCCGAAGGCGUUCGGGAGAACCCUCGUGAAGGAACUCGGCAAAUUGACCCCGUAACUUCGGGAUAAGGGGUGCUCUCGGGGCAACCCGAGAGCCGCAGAGAAUCGGCUCUAGCGACUGUUUAUCAAAAACACAGGACUCUGCCAACUCGCAAGAGGACGUAUAGAGUCUGACGCCUGCUCGGUGUCGGUAGGUUAAGGGAGCCGGUGAUCGCAAGAGAAGCUGGCGACCGAAGCCCCGAUAAACGGCGGCCGUAACUAUGACGGUCCUAAGGUAGCGAAGUUCCUUGUCGGGUAAGUUCCGACCUGCAUGAAUGGCGUAACGACUGGAGCGCUGUCUCCACGAGGGACCCGGUGAAACUGUAGCCGUGGUGAAGAUGCCACGUACCCGCGGUCAGACGGAAAGACCCCGUGAACCUUUACUGCAGGUUG
Molecule: ribosomal RNA, 1584 nt
Filed under: Colobanthus quitensis
Lineage: Eukaryota; Viridiplantae; Streptophyta; Magnoliopsida; Caryophyllales; Caryophyllaceae
Description: bacterial LSU rRNA
Rfam family: Bacterial large subunit ribosomal RNA
Source: RNAcentral